GGUCCCGGUCAUAGCGGUCGGGAAACACCCGGACUCGUCAGAUCCCGGAAGUUAAGCCGGCCGCGUUGAGAGGGCAGUGAGGUCCGCGAGGCCUCGCAGCCCUCUCAAACUGGGAUCC
RNAcentral lists this ribosomal RNA (118 nucleotides) under Desulfurococcaceae archaeon. Lineage: Archaea; Thermoproteati; Thermoproteota; Thermoprotei; Desulfurococcales; Desulfurococcaceae. The record is from RNAcentral.